CUAAGCAACUAUACAUCAUAGCAGCCAGUCACCAAUUACUAAUUGUCCUCAGCACUUUAGCCUUACAAAUCUGGACUGCCGGUGACAAUGGCAAGUAGUUUUGAUGGCCAAAAACACACCGGGAGGUUUCUCAGCUCAGCAAAGACAGAGGCACUAAUGACAAGAUGGGCAUCGCAUGCCUAUCAACUAUAAUGCUUCACAUGGACUCGGCCUGCCCUUGAAAAGGAAGGGACACAGAACGAUGAGACUUAAGAGGAAAGACUUCAGCCAGCAAAAACAAGAACAACAAAUCAGAUCCUGUUCAACCAGUGAGGCACUUCCUUGCUGAAUAUCAGUCACACUUUGAAAGAUGUAUGAAUUCUUUCAAACCAGCAGGAAAAAUUUGGAAUCAAUUCUGCAUUUGCUAAACUGAACAGUUACAGCAACACAAAACAGUUGUUUCAAUGGCUUUUAAAUUUGGCCAGUACUGCUACACUUUCCUGAAGUGACAGUGGGCCCUCACAGCAACCCUCCUACCUGUACCCUCAGAAGUGAUACUUAUAUAGCCCAGAAAGUGCUUCAUUAUGACUUUCCUGGCUUCUCGUCUAUAAUACUGGCCGACAUCAGGGGCCGCCAGGAGAGUUCACAGAGCUGAAGACUGUCUCUGUCACACAAGGGAGCUGUGCCAGAAACUGCAGGUGAGCCAUUAGGAGCCACAGCAGUUCUUUUGUGACCAUGAGGGAAACCUGAAGCCAGAAGCCAAGUCAAAGUAUAGCAGAACCUCAAGACCAAAGGGGCCGUGAACAUUGGUGAUGUUGUGGAGCCACCAGAAUAACCCUAUUCUUUGUGAACUUCUUUCAGAUGAAGGAAAAUAAAUCCUGAUAUUGUUUAAGUUACUGUUUUUCUGGUCUUUGAUAUUUGCAGCCAAACAUGAGCCAUUUCUCCUGCAAAAUGCCUAAUUAUAUGAGUUCUCAAUGUUGUGCUGACUAAUAAAAAUAAGUA
Long non-coding RNA from Symphalangus syndactylus (siamang), 981 nucleotides. RefSeq lists it as uncharacterized. Lineage: Eukaryota; Metazoa; Chordata; Mammalia; Primates; Hylobatidae. The record is from RefSeq and is a predicted model, not a curated record.